RNAcentral lists this small RNA (1660 nucleotides) under Pongo abelii (Sumatran orangutan). Its description in RNAcentral is "processed transcript". Lineage: Eukaryota; Metazoa; Chordata; Mammalia; Primates; Hominidae. The record is from RNAcentral.
UGCUUUUUAUAGCUGGUGUCGAGGACAAGAGAACCACAAGCCGUGGCCAGUCUGCUGAGAGACCACUGAGGGACAGACGGGUUGUGGGCCUGGAGCAGCCCCGGAGGGAAGGAGCAUUUGAAAGUGGACAGGUAGAGCCCAGGCCCAGAGAGCCCCAGGGCUGCUGCCAGGAAGGCCAGCGCAUCCCUCCAGAGAGAGAAGAAUUAAUCCAGAGCGUGCUGGCACAGGUUGCAGAGCAGUUCUCAAGAGCAUUCAAAAUCAAUGAACUGAAAGCCGAAGUUGCAAAUCACUUGGCUGUACUAGAGAAACGUGUGGAAUGACCAACUGCCCCUGUAAGUACAGUUUUUUGGAUAACCACAAGAAGUUGACUCCUCGACGCGAUGUUCCCACUUACCCCAAGUAUCUGCUCUCUCCAGAGACCAUCGAGGCCCUGCGGAAGCCGACCUUUGACGUCUGGCUUUGGGAGCCCAACGAGAUGCUGAGCUGCCUGGAGCACAUGUACCACGACCUCGGGCUGGUCAGGGACUUCAGCAUCAACCCUGUCACCCUCAGGAGGUGGCUGCUCUGCGUCCACGACAACUACAGAAACAACCCCUUCCACAACUUCCGGCACUGCUUCUGCGUGGCCCAGAUGAUGUACAGCAUGGUCUGGCUCUGCAGUCUCCAGGAGAAGUUCUCACAAACGGAUAUCCUGAUCCUAAUGACAGCGGCCAUCUGCCACGAUCUGGACCAUCCCGGCUACAAUAACACGUACCAGAUCAACGCCCGCACAGAGCUGGCGGUCCGCUACAAUGACAUCUCACCACUGGAGAACCACCACUGCGCCGUGGCCUUCCAGAUCCUCGCCGAGCCCGAGUGCAACAUCUUCUCCAACAUCCCACCUGAUGGGUUCAAGCAGAUCCGACAGGGAAUGAUCACGUUAAUCUUGGCCACUGACAUGGCAAGACAUGCAGAAAUUAUGGAUUCUUUCAAAGAGAAAAUGGAGAAUUUUGACUACAGCAAUGAGGAGCACAUGACCCUGCUGAAGAUGAUUUUGAUAAAAUGCUGUGAUAUCUCUAACGAGGUCCGUCCAAUGGAAGUCGCAGAGCCUUGGGUGGACUGUUUAUUAGAGGAAUAUUUUAUGCAGAGCGACCGUGAAAAGUCAGAAGGCCUUCCCGUGGCCCCAUUCAUGGACCGAGACAAAGUGACCAAGCCCACAGCCCAGAUUGGGUUCAUCAAGUUUGUCCUGAUCCCAAUGUUUGAAACAGUGACCAAGCUCUUCCCCAUGGUUGAGGAGAUCAUGCUGCAGCCACUUUGGGAAUCCCGAGAUCGCUACGAGGAACUGAAGCGGAUAGAUGACGCCAUGAAAGAGUUACAGAAGAAGACGGACAGCUUGAUGUCUGGGGCCACCGAGAAGUCCAGAGAGAGAAGCACAGAUGUGAAAAACAGUGAAGGAGACUGUGCCUGAGGAAAGCGGGGGGCGUGGCUGCGGUUCCGGACGGUCUGGCCAAGCUGCGCGGGAUCCUUGUGCAGGGAAGAGCUGCCCUGGGCACCUGGCACCAUAAGACCACGUUUUCUAAGAACCAUUUUGUCCACUGAUACAAAAAAAAAAGGAAUUCAUGAUGCUGUACAGAAUUUUAUUUUUAAACUGUCUUUUAAAUAAUAUAUUCUUAUACGGAAA